AGUGAACGCUGGCGGUAGGCCUAACACAUGCAAGUCGAACGGCAGCACAGUAAGAGCUUGCUCUUACGGGUGGCGAGUGGCGGACGGGUGAGGAAUACAUCGGAAUCUACUUUUUCGUGGGGGAUAACGUAGGGAAACUUACGCUAAUACCGCAUACGACCUACGGGUGAAAGCAGGGGAUCUUCGGACCUUGCGCGAUUGAAUGAGCCGAUGUCGGAUUAGCUAGUUGGCGGGGUAAAGGCCCACCAAGGCGACGAUCCGUAGCUGGUCUGAGAGGAUGAUCAGGCACACUGGAACUGAGACACGGUCCAGGAUCCUACGGGAGGCAGCAGUUGGGAAUAUUGGACAAUGGGGGCAAGCCUGAUCCAGCCAUACCGCGGGGGUGAAGAAGGCCUUCGGGGUGGAAAGGCCCUUUGUUGGGGAAGAAAAGCAGCAGGGUAAUACCCCGCUGGUCUGAAGGGAACCAAAGAAUAAGCACCGGCUAACUUCGUG
Molecule: ribosomal RNA, 492 nt
Filed under: uncultured bacterium
Lineage: Bacteria
Description: partial 16S ribosomal RNA
Rfam family: Bacterial small subunit ribosomal RNA
Source: RNAcentral